CCACGCUGCCAAGAAAAGCGUCUAGAGAGAGAAGUAGUGCCCGUACCGCAAACCGACACAGGUAGGUGAGGAGAGAAUCCUAAGGCCGGCGGAAGAAUUACAGUUAAGGAACUCGGCAAAUUGACCCCGUAAGUUCGCGAGAAGGGGUGCCUACGAGAGUAGGCCGCAGAGAAUAGGCCCAAGCAACUGUUUAGCAAAAACACAGGUCUCUGCUAAAGCGUAAGCUGAUGUAUAGGGGCUGACGCCUGCCCGGUGCUGGAAGGUUAAGGGGAACACUUAGCGCAAGCGAAGGUGUGAACUUAAGCCCCAGUAAACGGCGGCCGUAACUAUAACGGUCCUAAGGUAGCGAAAUUCCUUGUCAGGUAAGUUCUGACCCGCACGAAUGGCGUAAUGACUUGGGCACUGUCUCAACUGUAAAUCCGGCGAAGUUGUAGUGCGAGUGAAGAUGCUCGCUACCCGCGAUUGGACGGAAAGACCCCGUAGAGCUUUACUGUAGCUUAGCAUUGAGUUUUGGUAUUGUCUGUACAGGAUAGGUGGGAGACUAGGAAACCAGGGCGUCAGCCUUGGUGGAGUCAACCUU
RNAcentral lists this ribosomal RNA (580 nucleotides) under Clostridium perfringens. RNAcentral describes it as "partial 23S ribosomal RNA". It matches the Rfam family "Bacterial large subunit ribosomal RNA", at positions 1600 to 2193 of the family's 2925-position model. The record is from RNAcentral. Lineage: Bacteria; Bacillati; Bacillota; Clostridia; Eubacteriales; Clostridiaceae.